This 653-nucleotide ribosomal RNA is filed under the name uncultured marine bacterium. Its description in RNAcentral is "bacterial SSU rRNA". It matches the Rfam family "Bacterial small subunit ribosomal RNA", at positions 818 to 1482 of the family's 1533-position model. The record is from RNAcentral.
AGACGUUGGAAAUUUAUUUUCAGUGUCGCAGGGAAACCGAUAAACACACCGCCUGGGGAGUACGACCGCAAGGUUAAAACUCAAAUGAAUUGACGGGGACCCGCACAAGUAGUGGAGCAUGUGGUUUAAUUCGAAGAUACGCGCAGAACCUUACCAACACUUGACAUGUUCGUCGCGACUCUAAGAGAUUAGAGUUUUCGGUUCGGCCGGACAAAACACAGGUGCUGCAUGGCUGUCGUCAGCUCGUGUCGUGAGAUGUUGGGUUAAGUCCCGCAACGAGCGCAACCCUCACUUUUAGUUGCCAUCAUUAAGUUGGGCACUCUGAAAGAACUGCCAGUGAUAAGCUGGAGGAAGGUGGGGAUGACGUCAAGUCCUCAUGGCCCUUACGUGUUGGGCUACACACGUGCUACAAUGGCAUCUACAACAGGAAGCAAAACGGCAACGUUAAGCAAAUCCCGAAAAGAUGCCUCAGUUCGGAUUGCACUCUGCAACUCGAGUGCAUGAAGCUGGAAUUACUAGUAAUCGUGGAUCAGCGUGCCACGGUGAAUGCGUUCCCGGGUCUUGUACACACCGCCCGUCACACCAUGGGAGUUGGUUCUACCUUAAGGCAAGGUUUUAAACCCUUGACCACGGUAUAGUCAGCGACUGGGGUG